RNAcentral lists this ribosomal RNA (841 nucleotides) under uncultured Nitrosospira sp. Its description in RNAcentral is "bacterial SSU rRNA". It matches the Rfam family "Bacterial small subunit ribosomal RNA", at positions 158 to 995 of the family's 1533-position model. Lineage: Bacteria; Pseudomonadati; Pseudomonadota; Betaproteobacteria; Nitrosomonadales; Nitrosomonadaceae. The record is from RNAcentral.
GUGUGCUAACACCGCAUAAUCUCUGAGGAGAAAAGCAGGGGAUCGCAAGACCUUGCGCUUUUGGAGCGGCCGAUGCCUGAUUAGCUUGUUGGUAAGGUAAAAGCUUACCAAGGCUUCGAUCAGUAGCUGGUCUGAGAGGACGACCAGCCACACUGGGACUGAGACACGGCCCAGACUCCUACGGGAGGCAGCAGUGGGGAAUUUUGGACAAUGGGGGCAACCCUGAUCCAGCCAUGCCGCGUGAGUGAAGAAGGCCUUCGGGUUGUAAAGCUCUUUCAGCCGGAACGAAACGGUUACGGAUAACACCCGUGACUACUGACGGUACCGGAAGGAGAAGCACCGGCUAACUACGUGCCAGCAGCCGCGGUAAUACGUAGGGUGCGAGCGUUAAUCGGAAUUACUGGGCGUAAAGCGUGCGCAGGUGGUUUUGUAAGUCAGAUGUGAAAGCCCCGGGCUUAACCUGGGAACUGCGUUUGAAACUACAAGACUAGAGUGUGGCAGAGGGGGGUGGAAUUCCGCGUGUAGCAGUGAAAUGCGUAGAGAUGUGGAGGAACACCGAUGGCGAAGGCAGCCCCCUGGGUCAACACUGACGCUCAGGCACGAAAGCAUGGGGAGCAAACAGGAUUAGAUACCCUGGUAGUCCAUGCCCUAAACGAUGUCAACUAGUUGUCGGGCCUUUACGGGUUUGGUAACGUAGCUAACGCGUGAAGUUGACCGCCUGGGGAGUACGAUCGCAAGAUUAAAACUCAAAGGAAUUGACGGGGACCCGCACAAGCGGUGGAUUAUGUGGAUUAAUUCGAUGCAACGCGAAAAACCUUACCUACCCUUGACAUGUAUCGAA